GAUGAACGCUGGCGGCGUGCCUAAUACAUGCAAGUCGAGCGAACGGACGAGAAGCUUGCUUCUCUGAUGUUAGCGGCGGACGGGUGAGUAACACGUGGAUAACCUACCUAUAAGACUGGGAUAACUUCGGGAAACCGUAGCUAAUACCGGAUAAUAUUUUGAACCGCAUGGUUCAAAAGUGAAAGACGGUCUUGCUGUCACUUAUAGAUGGAUCCGCGCUGCAUUAGCUAGUUGGUAAGGUAACGGCUUACCAAGGCACGAUGCAUAGCCGACCUGAGAGGGUGAUCGGCCACACUGGAACUGAGACACGGUCCAGACUCCUACGGGAGGCAGCAGUAGGGAAUCUUCCGCAAUGGGCGAAAGCCUGACGGAGCAACGCCGCGUGAGUGAUGAAGGUCUUCGGAUCGUAAAACUCUGUUAUUAGGGAAGAACAUAUGUGUAAGUAACUGUGCACAUCUUGACGGUACCUAAUCAGAAAGCCACGGCUAACUACGUG
RNAcentral lists this ribosomal RNA (496 nucleotides) under uncultured bacterium. Its description in RNAcentral is "partial 16S ribosomal RNA". It matches the Rfam family "Bacterial small subunit ribosomal RNA", at positions 28 to 507 of the family's 1533-position model. The record is from RNAcentral.